CGGGGUGAGUAAUGCUUGGGAAUCUAGCUUAUGGAGGGGGAUAACUACGGGAAACUGUAGUUAAUACCGCGUAGAAUCGAGAGAUGAAAGUGUGGGACCUUCGGGCCACAUGCCAUAGGAUGAGCCCAAGUGGGAUUAGGUAGUUGGUGAGGUAAAGGCUCACCAAGCCGACGAUCUCUAGCUGGUCUGAGAGGAUGACCAGCCACACUGGGACUGAGACACGGCCCAG
This 229-nucleotide ribosomal RNA is filed under the name uncultured bacterium. Its description in RNAcentral is "partial 16S ribosomal RNA". It matches the Rfam family "Bacterial small subunit ribosomal RNA", at positions 104 to 334 of the family's 1533-position model. The record is from RNAcentral.